GAAGCCUGAUCCCAGUUCUAGCUCUAGUGGUCUCAUGCACAUUAUCUUAUUUCAGAUGCCCAACACCCAGAUGUGGCAGGUAGGGAAGUUUCAUAAUAACCUCUUAUAACAGAUAGGAAAACCAAGAUGGGAACAUGUGAAAGGAAAUGAGGGAGGUCAGGGAAUGACUGACAACAACCACGUCAGGGAGAAAGCUCUGACUCCUGGGCCUUCUCCUCCCCCUCAGAACAUGAAAAAUGUCACAACUUUCUCCCCCAGAAAUAGAAGUUGUCCCGAACAUUCUCUACAAAUGUUACUUCAGAAGCCAGCAAAUAAAAUGACUUUCAGGAACCAAAGCUUGGCAAAUAGAUGGACGGGAAGAAACAGCGUCAAGUCACUGUUAGCACAAAAUUGCAUCUCUACAUUGGCAUGGAGCUGGUAAUUGACAGACAGUAUAGCGGGAGUUACUCUUCAGCUCUGUCAUCUGCAAAAUGGGAAUGGUAGUACUUACCCCGCUCGCCUCACCAGGCUGCUGUGACAACUGACUGUGAUAACAAGAAAAAACCUCCAUCUUCAUCCCCAGAGCUUGAUAUCAAAACAACUAAGCCAGAAAGAAGACCUUUGGUCCUUACCUGAUGGGACACUCAUUAUAACAGGAGAAAUAAUAAUGUCUUUUACAAACCUACAGACACAGCUUAUUUGUGAUAAGAAAACAGUUUUGUUUUUUAGUUUUUUUAUUGGCAUUAAUUUACUCAGAAUAUCUACUAAGUGCACU
RNAcentral lists this long non-coding RNA (754 nucleotides) under Pan troglodytes (chimpanzee). RNAcentral's name for it is "long non-coding RNA NONPTRT013678". Lineage: Eukaryota; Metazoa; Chordata; Mammalia; Primates; Hominidae. The record is from RNAcentral.